AGUGAACGCUGGCGGUAGGCCUAACACAUGCAAGUCGAACGGCAGCACAGUAAGAGCUUGCUCUUACGGGUGGCGAGUGGCGGACGGGUGAGGAAUACAUCGGAAUCUACUUUUUCGUGGGGGAUAACGUAGGGAAACUUAUGCUAAUACCGCAUACGACCUACGGGUGAAAGCAGGGGAUCUUCGGACCUUGCGCGAUUGUAUGAGCCGAUGUCGGAUUAGCUAGUUGGCAGGGUAAAGGCCCACCAAGGCGACGAUCCGUAGCUGGUCUGAGAGGAUGAUCAGCCACACUGGAACUGAGACACGGUCCAGACUCCUACGGGAGGCAGCAGUGGGGAAUAUUGGACAAUGGGCGCAAGCCUGAUCCAGCCAUACCGCGUGGGUGAAGAAGGCCUUCGGGUUGUAAAGCCCUUUUGUUGGGAAAGAAAAGCAGCAGGUUAAUACCCCGCUGUUCUGACGGUACCCAAAGAAUAAGCACCGGCUAACUUCGUG
This 492-nucleotide ribosomal RNA is filed under the name uncultured bacterium. RNAcentral's name for it is "partial 16S ribosomal RNA". It matches the Rfam family "Bacterial small subunit ribosomal RNA", at positions 29 to 507 of the family's 1533-position model. The record is from RNAcentral.